Molecule: transfer RNA, 76 nt
Filed under: Escherichia coli
Lineage: Bacteria; Pseudomonadati; Pseudomonadota; Gammaproteobacteria; Enterobacterales; Enterobacteriaceae
Also listed under: 5 other names
Description: tRNA-Val
Rfam family: tRNA
About the family: Transfer RNA (tRNA) molecules are approximately 80 nucleotides in length. Their secondary structure includes four short double-helical elements and three loops (D, anti-codon, and T loops).
Source: RNAcentral
GGGUGGUUAGCUCAGCUGGGAGAGCACCUCCCUUACAAGGAGGGGGUCGGCGGUUCGAUCCCGUCAUCACCCACCA